Molecule: ribosomal RNA, 495 nt
Filed under: uncultured bacterium
Lineage: Bacteria
Description: partial 16S ribosomal RNA
Rfam family: Bacterial small subunit ribosomal RNA
Source: RNAcentral
GACGAACGCUGGCGGCGUGCCUAAUACAUGCAAGUAGAACGCUGAAGGAGGAGCUUGCUUCUCUGGAUGAGUUGCGAACGGGUGAGUAACGCGUAGGUAACCUGCCUGGUAGCGGGGGAUAACUAUUGGAAACGAUAGCUAAUACCGCAUAAUAGCAGUUGUUGCAUGACAACUGUUUGAAAGUUGCAAUUGCACCACUACCAGAUGGACCUGCGUUGUAUGAGCUAGUUGGUGGGGUAACGGCUCACCAAGGCGACGAUACAUAGCCGACCUGAGAGGGGGAUCGGCCACACUGGGACUGAGACACGGCCCAGACUCCUACGGGAGGCGGCAGUAGGGAAUCUUCGGCAAUGGGCGGAAGUCUGACCGAGCAACGCCGCGUGAGUGAAGAAGGUUUUCGGAUCGUAAAGCUCUGUUGUAAGAGAAGAACGAGUGUGAGAGUGGAAAGUUCACACUGUGACGGUAUCUUACCAGAAAGGGACGGCUAACUACGUG